This is a long non-coding RNA of Poecile atricapillus (Black-capped chickadee), 3547 nucleotides long. RefSeq lists it as uncharacterized. The record is from RefSeq and is a predicted model, not a curated record. The transcript is spliced from 3 exons. NCBI's taxonomy places the organism in Eukaryota, Metazoa, Chordata, Aves, Passeriformes, Paridae.
CUUGAGAACUUGUAUAGCCUGACCUUUCUAGUGGAUCAAUCUCUUCAAAAGCAAGAUCCAUGGAGCAUCCAAGUCUUUGCAAACGUUUUGCAAGGUAGAAGCAACGUUUUCACCCUGCCUGGAAUAAAGUCUCGUCUGUGCAACGAGAGCCGUGCGUGUCAGUGCUGAGCCCUACCCGCCCUGGCGUGACUGCGGAUCCUCUCCCGUCCCACCCCAUCAGCCCCAGCCGAGCAGCCUCCAGCCAUUUGCGUCUGAAAGGCGACUUGAACUGACGCGAAAGGCGACGCAGUCAAUGGCUUAUUGCUGGUGUCGGUGUGUGCUAAUUAUACCCUGGGUAAUCACCCUACAGAACAUGUGAACAGCUUUCAAACUGCCGGGGCUAUUUUUACUAAACCUCGGCUAUAUUUACCGUGCAUUCGGUUGGUGGCACUCGAGCAUCCCCUUUCUGGUGUAUUUAUAGCUAAAAGCAGCGCUGAAGGUAAUGGGCCGGGACACGAGCUCUGGGGGAGGCUAAUCCCACCCUGGCCAUGCCGUCCCUGCCAGCCGUGAUCCCUGCGCUCCUGCUCUCUCCCGGGCAGGUGAGCAUGGGCGGCCAAAGGUCGGAGCUUUUCCUUCCGUCUUCGGUUUGGAACGGUGCCACACCGCACCGGGAUCCCACGGGAUCCCAAAGGGCCCGGAAUGUCCAUUUCAGCUGUCUCAAACUCUGUACCCAACAAAUGGAGUGGGGGGAGCCUGCAGACUCCAGAAGACUCUCCAUUAUUCAGACGAGGGUAAAAAUAAAGGCAUAGAAAGCAGAACUUGCUAACUAAUCUUUCAUGGCACAUAUAGUACUCAUAUAAUACCAGCAUUAUAAGAACUUGUCUUUCUGAUGGGGAAUGGUAUAAAUUAAAGCAGUUUAAAAUGUAAAUCAUGUAAUCUGUAAGAGGAGAUAAAAUCCUGCAUAAAAAUGUACAAGGCUGAAGGCAAAAAUCAUACAGCAUUUUCCUUUUUGUAUCAAAGGCCAAAAGAUAAAUCCAAAGGUCAGUAUUUGAAUGUAUGACAUGUCACCUGCUUCCAAUGAGGGGCAAGCACACAACAUGUAGUAGUCUGUGAUUAAAACUGAUAAUUUAGUUCAUGUGCAUAAAUAUAGGUUUUCUACAAUAUUGUCUAGCAAAACUCAAGUUCUUCAGGUGACAAACUGUGAGAGGAACAAAUUUCAACAAUUCUGAGAAAGGACAAGCUCAGGGUCUACUGCUGAUGCUUUACAAACUGAAGAAAAUUACUUUUAAAAAACCACUUUACCCCAUCUCUCCUAGUUUUGACUGCAGGGGCUACUCUGUCCUCAAAACACAGCUAGAAAGAUUUCAUACUCCUUUUGCUUAACCUUAAGAGUUAUCCCAUUACCAACUAGACACUGGGGAAGCAGCAUGCUUGGCUUUGUUAAGCCUCCUUGUCUUGAUACCAUUUCCUCUCUUCAGCAUAAGUUUACAGGGGAUGGCUGCCGAGCUUGUUUGGGAUUCAGCAAUACAGAUCUCCAGGAGAGUUUUCAUGUUCCCUGUGCUCUGCCUGCCAGGUUCAUGUGUGUUUUGUAGUUCAUACUUUUGCUGCCUCUUCGGAGAGAGCCAAUUCCAUUAAACUUUGGAUGAACAGUUGUGCAAGCAGACCUUGACUUUUCAGUCCACUGCCCCCUCCAGUUAAAUCCCUUCCUGUUUGGUACGUGUGGUGCCAGGUGUUGAUCCCACAGCCCUGACCUCUACCCACUCCUCAAGUCAGGAGGAACCAGAAAUGUCUUACACACUAAAUCAUUACAGAGCCCUUGCUAAUAUUUAGUAAUCAUUUGGUACCUACUGAUACCUAAAAUCAUUGUGGAUGAUCAAAGUCAACUGAGUGAAUGACAUCAAAAAUGUUACAAAGCGUUUUCUGGGCUAACAGUCCAGGUCACUAAUCCUGAAAUAAUGACUGCAGCAGACAAAAAGAGAGGGGUGCACACAGUACACUGUGCACACAUGUGGCAUAUUCCUCCAUACAACACCGAUAACUGCACUUGGAAAACUUGUCAGAUACGGCACAGAUCAAAAUGUGAUACAGUGGGUUUUUAAAAUAGGUUUUUAAAUUUUUUUUUUAAAUAUUGGGCUGUGAAAUGGAAAUUAUUUUAACAACUUUUCUGUCUAUGUAAUUGACCUCUAUGGCAGUUUUCCCAGAUUUCAGAAUUUCAGCUGUUACUUUAUAUGCAAGAGUUUCACCUUUUCCUCCCUUAACAUUUAUCUAGAAUGUAAGCUGGCUAGCAAAUUUAUACUAAUAGUUAAAAAUAGAUUGUGCAAAACAGAAAUUACGUUGGUGGGGGGAAAAUCUGCUACAGACAGAGUAGAUUGGCUUGGUCAGUACUGGUGAUACUGCCAUAUUGCAUUGCAAAGCUUUUCCCUCUCUGUGCUGCAUUGAAAAAGGAGCAACACACUGCAUUGAAAAGGCAACAAACAUCAGGCAGCAGCUCUGGCCUACAAAACUAAGAAUUGAAAAAUAUGAAGCGGCAUCCUAACAUCAGUAUGGGUAGAACAGAGUAGAGGUAGCUCUGACUUUUGGAUCUGCUGUAAAAUAAGCUGUAAAAUAAGAGAUCUGUUUUCCUGGGUUCUUCCCAUGGUUUUCAUUUCCCACUGUGCUCUGUUUGCCUGUCUGCAGUCCCUGCUCACUGCACAAGUGGAAGCAGCUGCAGCACCGAGGCCUCCCCUGCCCCUGAGGCCAAGCGAGGGCUUUGCCUCUGGUCACUGAAGGCUUGCACUGGGCAGCUGACAAAGCCACAGCCUGACAGCCAGACUGCUCAGGAUGAGCUCUUCAAACUUUGCAAUUUGCAAUCCAGAGUUUUAAGACCUAAAGUUAGGUUGAACAGCUCAGCCAUUUGUGCAGUGAGUGACACCCAGAGCUAUGGGUGCUGAUCCUAUCAGCUGUCCCAGCACUGACCAACCCCUCUGGUGAAAUUCCCACCUACAGAAAGUGAUCCAUGUUCACUGAUUGCAACAGAACAAACUUGUCUGAUUUGUGUUAUGAAGCAUGACAUCAUCAUGAAAGCUGGUGCUUCUAAUAAUAAAUUCCUGAUUGUUUUGGAUAAAUUAACCCCCCCCAACAAUGAAUUUAGAAUAACAAGUUCUCUUAAGGCAUUUUUAAGGUGUUUGAAGUUCUAGUAUCAAAAGUAAAGGCAUUACCUUCUUUAAUCAAAUGCAAAGCAGAAACUAACAUGCUUCUGAAUUGCUCUGUAUCUAAUCCCCCUCUCACUGUGCUAAAAGACAAAUAUUUUGUACUAGAGCACAAAGAAAAACAGAAAAAUAUCUAAGCAUAUAUAUUUUAUAUAAGAAUAUAAGAAAAGGAAAUUCCUGAACCAACAGUCCUUUCAGGGAAUAAUGCAAAUAUUUUUCCUUGCUGGAAGCCAGUAAUCUACUUUCUACAGGACAAGAAAAUCUCUUCAUUGGCAGUUGCCAAGCAUCUUAGGUUUUCUAAGUCAAAAAUAUAUCUGAAAACCUCCAUGGAGAACUUCAGGCAAACCAGUUCAGAUUACAGACCACUAGGCUGCAAUGGG